Molecule: ribosomal RNA, 1593 nt
Filed under: human metagenome
Description: bacterial LSU rRNA
Rfam family: Bacterial large subunit ribosomal RNA
Source: RNAcentral
ACGAGACGUAGUGGUAUCCUGAGUAACGCGGAACACGUGAAAUUCUGCGCGAAUCUGCCGGGACCAUCCGGUAAGGCUAAAUACUCCCGUGAGACCGAUAGUGAACGAGUACUGUGAAGGAAAGGUGAAAAGCACUCCGAUGAGGAGAGUGAAAUAGUUCCUGAAACCAUGCGCCUACAAGCGGUCGGAGCCGCGUAAGCGGUGACGGCGUGCCUUUUGCAUAAUGAACCUACGAGUUACCAUGUCUGGCAAGGAUAAGCGUCAUGAGACGCGCAUCCGCAGUGAAAGCGAGCCUGAAUAGGGCGUCGAGUCAGAUGGGGUAGACGCGAAACCAAGUGAUCUACACUUGCCCAGGUUGAAGUCCGGGUAACACCGGAUGGAGGACCGCACGGAUAAGCGUUGAAAAGCUUCCCGAUGAGGUGAGUGUAGGAGUGAAAGGCCAAUCAAACUUGGAGAUAGCUCGUACUCCCCGAAAGGCAUUUAGGUGCCGCGUGCAGUGUUUUCCCCAAGAGGUAGAGCGACCGAUAGGACGCGAGGGCUUCACCGCCUAUCAAGUCCUGACGAACUCCGAAUGCUUAUGUUCCGCAGUCAUGCAGUAAGGGGGCGGGUGCUAAGGUCCGUCCCCGAGAGGAGAAGAAUCCAGACCGCCGUCUAAGGUCCCGGAAUUCUGCCUGAGUUAGUCUAACGAAGUCUGGUCCCCGUGACAGCUAGGAUGUUGGCUUGGAAGCAGCCAUUCAUUCAAAGAGUGCGUAACAGCUCACUAGUCGAGGGUCCGGGCAUGGAUAAUAAUCGGGUAUAAGUCAGAUACCGAAGGCGCGGGAUAGUAAUGUAAAUUAAAAGUAUCGGUAGGGGAGCAUUCCAUCGACGUUGAAUGGUGAAGGUAACUGAUCCUGGAGUUUAUGGAAAAGCAAAUGUAGGUAUAAGUAACGAUAAAAAGGGUGAGAUUCCCUUUCGCCGAAAGACCGAGGUUUCCCGGGCGAUGCCAAUCAGCCCGGGGUUAGUCGGGUCCUAAGUCUCAGCCGAACGGCGAAGGCGAUGGCAGAUGCGGUUAAUAUUCCGCAACUCGCAUAUACAGUGAUGUGGAGACGGAGCAGUGACACUGCCGCGCCCUGACGGAAUAGGGCGUUUAAGUGCGUAGGCUAUGAGGGAGGCAGGCAAAUCCACCUUCCGAGCUGAACCAUGAAAGUACAGGUAAUCCUUCGGGAUAACUUGAGUGCAGGUAAUCAUACUUCCGAGAAAAUCCGCUAAACUUAAUGUAUAUGCGACCCGUACCGCAAACGGACACACGUGGUCGGGUAGAAUAUACUAAGGCGUUGAGAGAUUCAUGGUUAAGGAACUAGGCAAAUUGACCCCGUAACUUCGGGAUAAGGGGUCCUCAUAGCAAUAUGAGGCGCAGAGAAUCGGUCCAGGCAACUGUUUAACAAAAACACAGGGCUGUGCAAACUCGAAAGAUGACGUAUACAGCCUGACACCUGCCCGGUGCCGGAAGGUUAAGAGGAGAUGUCACCAGCAAUGGGAAGCAUUGAAUUGAAGCCCCGGUAAACGGCGGCCGUAACUAUAACGGUCCUAAGGUAGCGAAAUUCCUUGUCGGGU